UCCUCCCUCUUUCUUCGUGCUUAACACAUGCAAGUCGAACGCUGAAGCUCAGCUUUUGUUGGGUGGAUGAGUGGCGAACGGGUGAGUAACACGUGAGUAACCUGCCUCCUUCUUUGGGAUAACGCCCGGAAACGGGUGCUAAUACUGGAUAUUCACUGGUCUUUGCCUGGGGGUUGGUGGAAAGGGUUUUUCUGGUGGGGGAUGGGCUCGCGGCCUAUCAGCUUGUUGGUGGGGUGAUGGCCUACCAAGGCUUUGACGGGUAGCCGGUCUGAGAGGGUGACCGGUCACAUUGGGACUGAGAUACGGCCCAGACUCCUACGGGAGGCAGCAGUGGGGAAUAUUGCACAAUGGGCGCAAGCCUGAUGCAGCGACGCCGCGUGAGGGAUGGAGGCCUUCGGGUUGUGAACCUCUUUCGCUCAUGGUCAAGCCGCAACAAUGGUUGUGGUGAGGGUAGUGGGUAAAGAAGCGCCGGCUAACUACGUG
RNAcentral lists this ribosomal RNA (483 nucleotides) under uncultured bacterium. Its description in RNAcentral is "partial 16S ribosomal RNA". It matches the Rfam family "Bacterial small subunit ribosomal RNA", at positions 36 to 507 of the family's 1533-position model. The record is from RNAcentral.